Long non-coding RNA from Panicum virgatum (switchgrass), 1261 nucleotides. RefSeq lists it as uncharacterized. Lineage: Eukaryota; Viridiplantae; Streptophyta; Magnoliopsida; Poales; Poaceae. The transcript has 3 exons. The record is from RefSeq and is a predicted model, not a curated record.
UCCCCGGCGGCGGCCACAAUUUGUAGAGGGCAGGCACGCAUCAAGAUGGAGCAAAAGGGGCCCGUCGCCAUCCACCUGCACGCAGCCCUUGCGAUCCGCCGAUCCCCCUCCCCUGCACCCGGCCCUCGCGAUCCACUCGGCCUCGCCAUUGCCUCCAUCGACCCGCCAUCCUCCUCUCUAUUCGCGUGGAUCGACCAACCCUCUGUAGCGUGAUCCUGGCGGCGGCGCGGCGUCAUGGUGGAUCUGCGGCGCCUCGGCGGCUACCUCCCACUCUCCUCGCGACAACGGUCGCCAUGGAACGCAGCAAGAGCUUUCCAGCCGGUGCGCGAUGCAACUCAAUCGUGAGGAUUUGAGGUCGGCGUUUGCGGCCGUGCACCUGUGUAAACGCCGGCAUCCUCACCAUGGCUGCAGAUCGUCCAGAUACGUUAAGCUGCUAGCUGUGCUCUCGUUGCUCAUCUAUCGCUGGCUUGUAAUCUCAUAUCAUGAAUCCUGCAAGUUGUGUAUGUAACUUUUUUUGUUGUUUGCAGAUUGACGAAGGGGGUGAUGCAAGUGCACUCUCUGUGUUUGGGUAAAUGCCCCAGCGAAGUUGAAGUCCCGCACAGGCCAAGCAUCGCUAUUUGUUUCUCUGUAGUCUUUGCAGGUUAGCUGACAAAGCAAGAAAAGAGUUCAAUUGGAACUAGAGAUGCGAAGAGAUGCUGCAUUAUGCAGGUUCUUGAUCCUGCACUGCCUCUACGAUUUAUGAUCUAAGGGCACCAUGUAAAAGAGCCUUGUUUGAUUCGAAUUGACCUAGGUUUAGGAUUUUGCGGGUUGUUUCCUAUCAAACUUCCAGCUUGAUUUAUUUCAUAGCUUCAGCUUUGCAAGUGAAUUAUUAUUUAAAGCCAUCUCCCGUUGUGUUCAGAUAGAGAGAAGGUGAGAGAGAGCAAAGACGAAGCAGCCAACAACCAAAGGUGACCGAGGGAGACAAAGCUCUUAAUAGAAUUGAGAGGUAUAGAGCGAGGAGGAGGAUGGAACAGGAGGAGGUGUGCUCGUAUUUUAUUUUGAGAUUCUAAAUGGCUUCACUUUUGGAAUUUAUAGCAUAUUAUCAUGUAAAAGAGGAGAUGAUCACACUGAUAGACACUUGGCAAGAAGCUUUUGGUGGUGUGCGUGCAAGAUAUUCACAAUACUUUGCAGUUACAUGGAGCUCUUGUGGAAUUGCUGAAGGUGAUUCUACUCUUGGAGAAAUGUGAACCUUAUGAUUGAGGUAUGCAGUAUUUAUUGCUUC